CAUCUCAGAAUUCUUGUAAAGUACAUCCCAUAUGGCAACAGGGCUCUUGAACUUGAUUUGAUUGCCUUCA
This 70-nucleotide transfer RNA is filed under the name Greenwayodendron suaveolens. Its description in RNAcentral is "tRNA-Val". Lineage: Eukaryota; Viridiplantae; Streptophyta; Magnoliopsida; Magnoliales; Annonaceae. The record is from RNAcentral.